CAGGGGGUCGUCUAAUUUAAGGAUCCUAGCUUUGGGAGCUAGGGGUAGGAGUUCAACUCUCUUCUCCCUGA
Molecule: transfer RNA, 71 nt
Filed under: Chascanopsetta lugubris (pelican flounder)
Lineage: Eukaryota; Metazoa; Chordata; Actinopteri; Pleuronectiformes; Bothidae
Description: tRNA-Pro
Rfam family: tRNA
About the family: Transfer RNA (tRNA) molecules are approximately 80 nucleotides in length. Their secondary structure includes four short double-helical elements and three loops (D, anti-codon, and T loops). Further hydrogen bonds mediate the characteristic L-shaped molecular structure. tRNAs have two regions of fundamental functional importance: the anti-codon, which is responsible for specific mRNA codon recognition, and the 3' end, to which the tRNAs corresponding amino acid is attached (by aminoacyl-tRNA synthetases). tRNAs cope with the degeneracy of the genetic code in two manners: having more than one tRNA (with a specific anti-codon) for a particular amino acid; and 'wobble' base-pairing, i.e. permitting non-standard base-pairing at the 3rd anti-codon position.
Source: RNAcentral